Molecule: ribosomal RNA, 496 nt
Filed under: uncultured bacterium
Lineage: Bacteria
Description: partial 16S ribosomal RNA
Rfam family: Bacterial small subunit ribosomal RNA
Source: RNAcentral
GAUGAACGCUAGCGGCAGGCCUAACACAUGCAAGUCGAGGGGUAGAGGGAGCUUGCUUCCUUGAGACCGGCGCACGGGUGCGUAACGCGUAUGCAAUCUACCUUAUACAGAGGGAUAGCCCAGAGAAAUUUGGAUUAAUACCUCAUAGUAUUACGAAAUCGCAUGGUUUUGUAAUUAAAGUUCCAACGGUAUAAGAUGAGCAUGCGUCCCAUUAGUUAGUUGGUAAGGUAACGGCUUACCAAGACAAUGAUGGGUAGGGGUCCUGAGAGGGAUAUCCCCCACACUGGUACUGAGACACGGACCAGACUCCUACGGGAGGCAGCAGUGAGGAAUAUUGGUCAAUGGACGCAAGUCUGAACCAGCCAUGCCGCGUGCAGGAUGAAGCAUCUAUGGUGUGUAAACUGCUUUUGUACGGGAAGAAACACUCCUACGUGUAGGAGCUUGACGGUACCGUAAGAAUAAGGAUCGGCUAACUCCGUGCCAGCCGCCGCGGUAA